Molecule: transfer RNA, 74 nt
Filed under: Rhodococcus (subgen. Prescottella) equi
Lineage: Bacteria; Bacillati; Actinomycetota; Actinomycetes; Mycobacteriales; Nocardiaceae
Description: Rhodococcus hoagii tRNA-Val
Rfam family: tRNA
About the family: Transfer RNA (tRNA) molecules are approximately 80 nucleotides in length. Their secondary structure includes four short double-helical elements and three loops (D, anti-codon, and T loops).
Source: RNAcentral
GCGCGAUUAGCUCAGCGGGAGAGCGCUUCCCUGACACGGAAGAGGUCACUGGUUCAAUCCAGUAUCGCGCACCA